CAUAGCGACUAUCGUGGCAUAUCAAUAAGCGGAGGAAAAGAAACUAACAAGGAUUCCCUUAGUAACGGCGAGUGAAGCGGGAAGAGCUCAAAUUUGAAAUCUUCAAGGUUUUACCUUGACGAAUUGUAGUUUAAAGAAGUGUUUUCUGUUGGAGUUUUGGUAAAAGUUCUUUGGAAUAGGACAUCAUAGAGGGUGAGAAUCCCGUAUUUGACCAUUAUUUCCAGCUGUGUGAUACACUUUCAAGCGAGUCGGAUUGUUUGGGAAUGCAGUCCAAAAUGGGUGGUAAAUUUCAUCUAAAGCUAAAUAUUGGCGAGAGACCGAUAGUGAACAAGUACCGUGAGGGAAAGAUGAAAAGAACUUUGAAAAGAGAGUUAAACAGUACGUGAAAUUGUCAAAAGGGAAGCGUUUGACACCAGUGUUGUUUUCUCGGAAAUCAAUUAAAAAUGAUGGGAUUUUGUGUUGUAUUGACUUUAAUCAGCUUUCUUCACUUUUUCUUGAUCUUUUUUAAUGCACUUUUCGUUUAACAAGUCAACAUCAGUUUCUUUUGUUGUAAAAGAGGUCAUUGGAAGGUGGCUUUUCUUUCGGAGAAAGUGUUUAUAGCCUUUGAUCUUCUGCAAUCGGAGAGAUUGAGGUCUGCAGCGUAGAUCCUUCGGGGUUAAAUACAUUUGUGCUAAGCUAUAGUUCUUUAUAGACAACUUGUUGACUAUAUCUAGUCCUGUAGGCUUACUCGCUUAUGCUAUUUUACCUACGCUUAGGAUGUUGAUAUGCAUGACUGAUAU
This 779-nucleotide ribosomal RNA is filed under the name uncultured Neocallimastigales. RNAcentral describes it as "partial large subunit ribosomal RNA". The stretch from base 5 to 697 matches the Rfam family "Eukaryotic large subunit ribosomal RNA", at positions 24 to 664 of the family's 3401-position model. Lineage: Eukaryota; Fungi; Neocallimastigomycota; Neocallimastigomycetes; Neocallimastigales. The record is from RNAcentral.